GAUGAACGCUAGCGGCAGGCCUAACACAUGCAAGUCGAGGGGUAGAGUUCUUCAGGACUUGAGACCGGCGCACGGGUGCGUAACGCGUAUGCAAUCUACCUUAUACAGGGGAAUAGCCCCAGAGAAAUUUGGAUUAAUGCCCCAUAGUGUUAUCGAAUCGCAUGGUUUGAUAACUAUAGUUCCAACGGUAUAAGAUGAGCAUGCGUCCCAUUAGUUAGUUGGUAAGGUAACGGCUUACCAAGACAAUGAUGGUAGGGGUCCUGAGAGGAUGAUCAGCCACACUGGGACUGAGACACGGCCCAGACUCCUACGGGAGGCAGCAGUGGGGAAUUUUGGACAAUGGGGGCAACCCUGAUCCAGCCAUGCCGCGUGCGGAAAGAAGGCCU
Molecule: ribosomal RNA, 386 nt
Filed under: uncultured bacterium
Lineage: Bacteria
Description: bacterial SSU rRNA
Rfam family: Bacterial small subunit ribosomal RNA
Source: RNAcentral